AUUUGAGUAUAAUUGGGUAAAGAAAAUUUACGACACAAAGGAGAGUGAGAAUUAGGAGUACUCGAGCAAGAUUAGUCACAUGCUACAUGUUAAAUUUAUUUGAGCUUGCAUUUACCUCAUUCAGACAACUCUGAACAUGAAAUCAAUUAAUUGAGCUUCACCAUGCUUUCACCACUUAACCAAUGCCUAAUGGUUAAAGUCUGGCUUUAGCACAUUCCCAGGUUUGUUUUACAUAUUGUUAUUCGGAUGCUAACUGUUUUAUUUAUUCAUAUUUUUUAUGUCUCAAGAUGUUUUUGUUAUUUUUCUUUUACAUAUCGAAACUAAGACUUCAGAGUGCCUAUUUCAUUUUCUUAAUAAAAGCUUAUUCAACACAAGUGCACCUUUUUCUUUUUCAUGGACAAGUGUUUCGGUUUAAGUAUCGUUUGUUUUCUAAAGAGAGCAAUAUUAUCUCAAUCAUACAAAAUAGUGUUACUGUGUAUGGUUUGUUAUGGUAGAUAUUCUUAUGUAUUGCUCACUUUGAUUUGACAGGCUUUAUGCAAACUGAGAAUCUAAGAUCAUUACAUUUGAAUUGUAAAGAAGGAAGCUUGCUGAAAUCAGUUGCCAAAUUAAAGGUUAGAUUGAAGUUGGUGUUGAGUGUUGCAUCCUCAACAAAGCUCUUGAGUCCCUUGUUACAAUUUCAGAUGACGAUAAGAAAGCCCUGUUUUCGGUGGACUGACCUGAGUUUGUUCAACCAAUGGAGUGCAUGAGCUACUAAUUUAAAUGAGAACCACUAUGAGAGCUCCAACUGUUGAAAUCCAUAUCAGUUCAGAAUGACCAAAAUAUCAAAAUGGGAACUCAGAACAAUAUAUUCACAUCUAGAUCAGCUUCUAUCAGGGAGUAAUUUUAAGUUCACAAGUUUAUGGAUUCAAUUCAAGAGAUGGAAGUCACACUUGGGAAAGCUAUAAGCUUGGGACAAGUUUAUGGGUUCACACAUGCUGCUGGAUAUUCUUCAGGCUUUGGUGGAUUGGGAGCCAUGAGGCACAUUAAAGUGUCCCUCCAACUUGCAGAUUUCGACACAUAAAGAUCAAAGUUGCUAAGGAACUGAACUUUUUUCAU
This is a long non-coding RNA of Humulus lupulus (European hop), 1095 nucleotides long. RefSeq lists it as uncharacterized. The transcript is spliced from 6 exons. The record is from RefSeq and is a predicted model, not a curated record. NCBI's taxonomy places the organism in Eukaryota, Viridiplantae, Streptophyta, Magnoliopsida, Rosales, Cannabaceae.